GUCUACGGCCAUGCCACCCUGAACAAGCCUGAUGUCUGAUCUCAGAAGCUAAGCUGGGUUGAGCCUGGUUAGUACUUGGAUGGGAGACUAGGAAUACCAGGUGCUAUAGGCA
RNAcentral lists this ribosomal RNA (112 nucleotides) under Pteropus alecto (black flying fox). Lineage: Eukaryota; Metazoa; Chordata; Mammalia; Chiroptera; Pteropodidae. The record is from RNAcentral.